UACGUAGGGUGCGAGCGUUGUCCGGAAUUAUUGGGCGUAAAGAGCUCGUAGGCGGUCUGUCGCGUCGGUCGUGAAAACUUGGGGCUUAACCCUGAGCUUGCGGUCGAUACGGGCAUGACUGGAGUUCGGUAGGGGAGACUGGAAUUCCUGGUGUAGCGGUGAAAUGCGCAGAUAUCAGGAAGAACACCGGUGGCGAAGGCGGGUCUCUGGGCCACUACUGACGCUGAGGAGCGAAAGCGUGGGGAGCGAACAGG
This 254-nucleotide ribosomal RNA is filed under the name uncultured bacterium. RNAcentral's name for it is "partial 16S ribosomal RNA". It matches the Rfam family "Bacterial small subunit ribosomal RNA", at positions 524 to 776 of the family's 1533-position model. The record is from RNAcentral.